CGCGGAUCUUCAACUGCAGACACAACUUGGUGGGGAAUGUGUCCGGGUAGCGUGCCUGGAAGGAAGCCGUGGCCUGAGCUGCAGAGACGAGACAGAGAAGAGGAGGACAAUGACAGAGACUGGAUCUACCUGAAGGAAAGAAGCCGUGUUCUUGAAAAAGCUGCAUGACCAGCGC
Xiphophorus couchianus (Monterrey platyfish) is the source of this 175-nucleotide long non-coding RNA. RefSeq lists it as uncharacterized. NCBI's taxonomy places the organism in Eukaryota, Metazoa, Chordata, Actinopteri, Cyprinodontiformes, Poeciliidae. The transcript is spliced from 2 exons. The record is from RefSeq and is a predicted model, not a curated record.